This 2064-nucleotide long non-coding RNA is filed under the name Mus musculus (house mouse). Its description in RNAcentral is "predicted gene, 35610". Lineage: Eukaryota; Metazoa; Chordata; Mammalia; Rodentia; Muridae. The record is from RNAcentral.
CUGCUUCCUGAAGGAUUAUUUGUCUCCUACUUCAGCUAGGAGGGAAGGAAGCCAGUGUUGGCUCAGGCACCCCAAAGCGAGCGGGAUUUGUACGGAGCCUUUCUGUAAUCCCAGGGAGCCGGACUAGGAAAUGCGCCCUCCGCUGGCGCUGGGUCACCGUUCUCUGCGUAGCUUUUUCUCCUCCCCCCGCCCCCCAUCUGUGGCCUGUGUCUCCUGCCUGGACGCUCCAGAUCCACCGCAGGGAAUUCUCCAAGGGCCUGCUGAAGAGCGAAGAGUCCAAGCUGAGGGGACCGGGGGUGGGGGGUGGGAGGGUCCUCUACCCACCUCUACCCUGUUCUGCCACGUCUCAGGCCUGGCCAAAAGUCAGGAACAUCUAAUACAACUUCUAAAAAGAGCCCAGUGUCAUUUAUAUUCAGGUUUUCCUCACUUGCCAUGGACUCUGAAUGUCAUUUACACACACACACACACACACACACACACACACACACACACACACACACACACACGCUUUACUGUGGCCAAACGCUGGGACUUCUCCUUUGGACCAGUUCUGCGUGGGACCUAGACGCCCCCCACCCCGUCUCUUAGCCCCCCCCCCAUCCUGAUCUCCCCCGCUGUGGCCUAGAGGCCUGUGGCCACUGUCAAGGGGCCCCCCGUCUGGAGGGCUUGGGUCCGGCUCCCCCGCCGCCACGGUGAUUUAUUCGCCUCACUCGACGGAAUCAGAUUAACAUGCAAACGGGGAGGCGAUCGGCUCGAGUCUGUCUCUCCAAACUGCCCCGACCGCCGGACAGCGGAAAACUACAGCCCCGGCCACCCCACGCCUGCUUGAGCAGGGGCCGUGACCCAGCCAGUACCCGCAGAGAAGCACCCCAGAGUGCGCACCCUGCUCAGGCUUCUGACCACCGCUGCAAACUUUGUUAAACUCCUUGCCCUCCCGCCCCGCCCCGGUUCUUUUCUUGCCUGGCCUGCUUUUCCUGAAGCAGGGAAAGAGAAGGUUAUCACCCUCGGAUCCUGAGAGUUGGGACCCUGUCUGGCAGGCACAUUAGCCUCUGGCCUCCCGCCAGGCUGCCAGACAGCGGAGCAUUCCUCGCUGAGAAGCACUGGUGACUGGAGCGGCCAGGCUUGCCAUGGCCCCUGCUGCUGUUCUUAGGGUUGCCCUUGUCUGAUUCUCCCAGGACACUCGGGACUUGUCCCAGUCUUAGGCACGGACACUGAUUGCGCCUUAUGAAGUUCUAACUGGUUUUGUGUCAGGAAGAUCUUUCUCGCUGCUACCCAGCCUGGCGUGACGGAUUAAACAUCAACUAGUUAAAUAAAAAUUAAUAUCAACUGCCUCCUAACUUCUAAUGUCAUGUUGUUUAUAACUAAUGAACUGAUUAGGGGAUAAACACAUCACGGAGACAUUCGGCUUUUCAGCCUCCGCUCCAUCGUCGCCUGUGCCCACUCCAAUGCUUCCAGUUGCCGGCCCAGGAAAGGGGGUGGUGAGGGGGGCGGGCAGGGCAGGACGCCUAGACUGGGAGUCCCAGGGGUUGCCCCUCUCCUGCCUUGAUCUUCCCCCCUCUGUGUUCUCUCUCUCUCUCUCUCUCUCUCUCUCUCUCUCUCUCUCUCUCUCUCUCUCUCCUCCUUCCUUCUCUUUCCCUUCAGUACAUUUCCUUUUCUGUCUCCACCCCAUUUCCUACUUUAUCUCUUUUUCUUGCUUUUCCUUCUCUUCUGUCCUUCCUUCUUUCCGUUCUACUGCAUGUCCAUCCCUGUUCACUCCCCUGCCCUUUGUGUCUGAUGUCUCUCCCUCUCUGCCCCACCCCCAGUCUGAGCGUGACACCCCCCCCCCUUCUAUCAUAGCCCAGCCUCUCUCCUCUCCUUUCUCCUUCUUCCUCCCUGGCCAGCCCAGAGUAGAAUAAUAACCAAAGUCCUUGUAACUGAGCAUGUGCCCUGGAUCAAAGCAAGACAGUCAUCCUCCCCCAAACUUAGAAACACACACACACACACACACACACACACACACACACACACACCUAUUUAAAGGGGGGGGGGAAAGUGUUUUCUCCAUCUUUCCUCUUCCAUCUCAAG